RNAcentral lists this ribosomal RNA (253 nucleotides) under uncultured bacterium. RNAcentral describes it as "partial 16S ribosomal RNA". It matches the Rfam family "Bacterial small subunit ribosomal RNA", at positions 524 to 776 of the family's 1533-position model. The record is from RNAcentral.
UACGGAGGGUGCGAGCGUUAUCCGGAAUUACUGGGUUUAAAGGGUGCGUAGGCGGCCCUGUAAGUCAGGAGUGAAAGUUUGCGGCUCAACCGUAAAAUUGCUUUUGAUACUGCGGGGCUAGAAUUAGGAUGAGGUCAGCGGAAUGUGGCAUGUAGCGGUGAAAUGCGUAGAUAUUACAAGGAACACCAAUGGCGAAGGCAGCUUGCUGGGCUUCUUCUGACACUGAGGUACGAAAGCGUGGGGAGCAAACAGG